AAUCGAAAUAAUUCUUUCAUUUUGUUAUCUCUUUUUCAUUUAUUUUUCAUAAUUAUCUUCCUCUCAGCGAACAUUAUCUUUCACAAGUAACUAUCAUACGAGUUCUUUAAUUAAAGGUAAUAUUAUCCUCGAAGCUUUGCUCUUUCUUUGUAAAAGUCUUGAUUAAUAUGAAUAAACAUUUUCAAAAUCAUUAGAAAAGCAACGUAAAUCUACGUAACAACGUAAAAUCUACAUAAUUGUAAUUAAAGCUUUAAAUCCUUUUUCAUAUUUUAAAUAUUUUCAUAGAAAUUAUAAUUCUGGCAUAUUGUCAGAUGUAAAUCCAAUAGUAUCAACAAAGAUGAAACUACAAAAACUUUUUAUUCUUUUAAAGUUCAGAUUUCUUUGUCUCUUUUGAUUAUAUUUAUUAAUAUAAUACAUAAAUAAUACAUAUUAUAAAGUAUUAAUUUAUACAUAGAAAAUGUUGCAUUAAUUCGAUUUCAGUUUAAAAGUAACUAAUAUAAAAAUUUAGUCGUAUAUAUAGAUAAUUUUUCAAAAGACUCAAGUAGCAAACAAUAUAUGAAUUUGUAGGUAGUGUCAUUUUAUCGGUCGCGUAAUACGAGCUCGACCAUCACGUAAGGAUGCACCCUGUCAAUUUGCGAACAAGACAAGUCCCAUCAAAGGGGUUAAUAAUAGUGAUCUUUUCAGCGCCGUAUUGUCGUUGUCAAAUUAUCCGAUCAGUUCAUUACACAUACAACAUAUGCUGUCCCUUAAAGUAACCUAAAGUUCAAGCUACUCGAGUCAGUUGGCAUUUGAGCAGUUAAAGAUCCUUCUUGGAAUGGAAAAAAAAAUAAUUUUCUUCACGAUCGGUGAAGCGUCUCUUCGAAAGGUCGCUGUGUCCGGAGGGUUCUUCGUCUUUAAUCAAUAAUAAAAGGGUUGACGUACGGAAGCUGAACAGGAAAUUACAUCCUGGAAAGGAAUUGGCAUAAGUAUCCGAGUGGCUACACUUGGAAACAGUCUUUAACAAUUUCCGAUCAUUUCUCCGUGCUUGUAACCAGGCUUCUCCUAACCUCUUCCUUUUCCUUAGCACGUAAAACAUUGUCGUUCGAAUACGGUGAAACCUGAGCUUGACAAAUCCAUGGAAUUUGCACUGUCUCUCUAACCACCAGGUUCAAAUGACUAACGAAAAAAAAGAACCAGAAGAAGAAACCAGAGGAUGAUACUUGAUUCACGAUUCUCGAAUCAAAUUUUCAAGAAUAACGAUCAUUAUUUUAAGUUGAAAAUUUUAUAAAAAUUAUUAUUUUUUAAAAUGAAUAACAAUUAUUUAUAAUCAAUGAAAAAAACAAAAGAACAGUUUCUGUUUCGUAAAGAAGUGUUUACAAGAUUUUUUUUCUUUCAGUUUUAAUUUAAACAAGUACAAAAGAAUGCAUAUAAUCGAUUAUUUUAUGCUCGCAAGAAAUCGAAGAGUAAAAGGGAGAUCUUUUGUUUCGUAAACAGAUGUUCAGGAGCAAUCUUUCACAGGACUACAUCAUUUUCAAACUCAAUUACCAGCUCAGUACUGAGCACCAGAUAAAUUAAAUUUCGUUACGUGAUCGUUCGUGGCUCUGAUAUUUCGGCGGUUGGCUAAAUUGCUGGCCAUAUACAUACUCUACACACUGUGUUUAUGCAACGGCGCGUGCACAGUGUACCGCCGACUUUUUGUCUUCAUCUUCCUGUACUGAGGUCAACUGAAAACAACACUUUUUCUCCAUUUACGGCACAUAGUAUAGGUGCGUAGCAAAAAGUGCAUCUGAAAGCGUCUUUAAUCUAAUAAUUCUCUUUUGAGGCGCAGAGUGGAAGAUAUUGUUAUUAAUUCAUCGACAGUUAUUGCCACCACUUUGAACGUAUGAAUCUUCUAAUCCUCACAGCCGGAUCAACCAAUUCUACUUAAGCUCUACUUUUAUCUAUAAAAAAUAAAUUCAUACAGGAGUUAAUAACAGACUGAAAAACUUUCAAGUAUCAUAGAUAAUAAAUGAGGUAAAGUGGUAUCUUUCCAUCAAUUGAUAUACAUAUUAAUAUUAUCCACAACUUACUUACUUUCCAAUCAAUAUCAUUCUUUUCUAAUUUCAAAUCAAAUUCCAAUUCAAAAAUAAAUAAUCAAUAAAUGUUUUGCAGAUUGAAAAACAUUCAAGCAUCAUAGAUAAUAAAUGAUAAGAUUGAAAAACUUUCAAGCAUCAUAGAUAAUAAAUGAUAAGACUUUUCGAGCACUUCCCCCCGAUUCGUCGCAGCCUGUUGCGUGUACGCAACGGUCUAUGAAGAGGCCAAGUGUGACAAGGUGGUCAAAGGGUUGCGCACGUGUUCGAGCGGACAAAACGCUUCAAGUGCGGCGAACUGCACGCGGCGUGGUGUCACGGCACGCUGGACUUUUCCCCCUUUACCUUUUGACUGUUGCAUCGGGGGAUCGUUCAGCCCCGAGGGUGAAACGAAUCGACGCAGCUGCGCCGUCCACGCUGAUAAUUAUCUCCGUUCGCUACCACCCUAUUGUUUCUUGAACAACAACCGCCUCCUCCACAAGCUGGACUCUCUCUCUCUCUCUCAGCUUGGCCCGGUUACGAGGCCACCUUCCUUUUUUCAGGCCCCGCGGGUCCUCCUACGCAGCUGCCUUUCGAAGGGAUGUAUGAGAAUAAGAGGAUACCGCAUUCGAGGCUGUUGCAAGAAGGAGAGUUAAUUUUUUAUCAUACUGAAAAAUCGUUGUGGAUUCUGAAAAGAAGAGUUGCCCUCAGCGCCGCAUAUAUUUUAAUAAGGAUUUAAGGAUUUUUCCCCCUUGAAUUCCUGAUAUAAAAUUUCAGAAUAAUGAAUUUUUUAAACUUUUGUUUUAAUGUUUCUAACAUAUUCUAAAAUUGGAAAUUUGCAGUGAGAUGGAAAGAGGAGAGAGUAUCAAAAAAAGGCUUGUUUUAAAAUAAUUCCAUUUCUACAAUUUUAUAUUAAAGAAGAAGAAGAAGAAGAAGAGGCUUUCUCAAUGAGAAAAGAGAAUGAGUUAAAUUGUUUAAUAAAUAAAAUUUUUCUUGCGCCAGUUUCUUCGACUUCGUGCAGGAGAAGUCUGUAGCUUGCUUUAUGAUGUGAAAAAAAAAAAAAAAGAAAGAGGAUCAGCUACGUUUCCGGCGGCUCUUUUCACGGUGCUACGGAAAAAAUGGGAACGCGGUUCUUUGGAGAGGUGUUUUCGUGCGCACCGCCUCUUUAGAGAAAAUUUUCAAAGAAACGCGUUGAAUUUGCUCAUAAGAACAGAGAGAGAGAGAGAGAAAAAAAACGAAAAAAUACACGUUGGCGUAGAAUUUAUAGGAUAAACACUUAAACCGGAUGAAUUUCGGUUAUUGUAAUUAGAUGGGCAUUCAAAGUUUGUAUGAAAAAAAUUAUACUCUUUUUAUUAUUAGAAUUUACAUUAAAAUUAGCUAUUUGAAUGUAUUAACUUGUUAUCCAAUAACAUUUCAUUUAUUAUUUUUUCAGAAUCUUAAAAUUUAUUUCACCUUUACACGGUAUUUUUAUUAUCACUCGCCGUGAAAUUUCAUUCUAACCGAUAAACAAAUAAACAAUUGGAGAGGUAAAAUAAACAAAGCUCGCCAAACCAAUUACUCUUCCCGUUGCUAGUAGGAAAAUAGGAUGGAGGAAAAACAAAGAGAUGCUUAAGAGGGCGAGGAAGAUUCACGAGGUGUUGGUUAUCUCGAAAAAGAAAAGUUGUUGGAAAACGAAGAAAGGGAAGUUGAGUUGAAAACCGUCAAAUUGCAAUUUGAUGCAUGGGCCGACUUUCAGAGAGUUGCUUUUGCAAAUCGUUGGAGCGUGCGCUUGCUAACGAGCCGGCCGAAAUUAAUGAGCAACGACUUACCAACGACUUAAGAUGAUGGUUUAGAAAAACUGUCCCUAUAUGAUAAUACGUUGUUUUUAUUCUGGCAAUAUUCUUGGCAUGAUGAAUACCAGAGAUUUUCACUGCGCUUAUCGAGAAGACAAAUUUGAAAUUAUAUUAUAAAAAAAUUUCAGAAAAGAUUAAAAUUUAUAAUACAGAUAUAAAAGUUUGUAUUAAGUUUGUACAUACUUAAUAACGAUGGAAAAAUAAUCAAGUUUUGCUUUUGAAAAAAAUCGCAAUCUACAAUCACCAGUUGGUUUUUACGUUGUCGGUAAAUUAUUCAGUUCACUGGGGUAUUUUGUGGUUUAUGAGAUUCAUUAGCAUACCAUGGGAAUCCAGAAUCGUCGGUUCCACCGAUCUCGAUUUCCUCGACCCUGUUUGCGACCUAUACGUUAUCAAGUGGCUUUAUUUUACCAUAUUUGCAUUGGUGAAAUGUAAAAUAGUAAGCUUACUAUUAAUAUAAGCUUAAUAUUCGGAGAAAA
Molecule: long non-coding RNA, 4335 nt
Organism: Apis mellifera (honey bee)
Lineage: Eukaryota; Metazoa; Arthropoda; Insecta; Hymenoptera; Apidae
Exons: 7
Source: RefSeq, a predicted model, not a curated record